AGUCUGGUGCCAGCAGCCGCGGUAAUUCCAGCUCCAAGAGUGUAUAUUAAAGUUGUUGCGGUGAGGAAGCUCGUAGUUUGACUUUAAGGAGCUUAAGGUACAGUACCACGAAUAUUUCUUCGUGGAUUAAGGCUGUUACCGAUAUUCUGGAUUUGAAAUGUAUUGGCAUCCUCGGAUGUUAAUUUCUUAUGUAUUACUUUGAAAAAAUUAGGGUGUUUAAAGCAGGCAUAAUUUGCCUUGAAUAUAUUAGCAUGGGAUAAUGAAAGAUGACCUAGUCCACAUUUAUAGUUGGGUUUUUAAUGGACUGGGUAAUGAUUAAUAGGGAUAAUUGGGGUCGUCUGUACUUGCGGGCGAGGGGUGAAAUCCUUAGACCCUGCAGAGACAAACAAAGGCGAAGGCAUUCGGCAAGGAUGUUUUCAUCAAUCAAGAACGAAAGUUGUGGGAUCGAAGAUGAUCAGAUACCGUCGUAGUCACAACAGUAAACUAUGUUAGCUCAGGAUUUGUGAGAGUUACAUGGAUGACUUCAUAAGGACUGUGUGCGAAAGCAAAGUAUUCAGACUCCGGGGGGAGUAUGGUCGCAAGGCUGAAACUUAAAGGAAUUGACGGAAGGGCACCACCAGGAGUGGAGCCUGCGGUUUAAUUUGACCCAACGCGGGAAAACUUACCCAGUCCAGACACAAUGAGGAUUGACAGAUUGAGAGCUCUUUCUUGAUUUUGUGGGUACCGGUGCAUGGCCGUUUUUAGUUGGUGGAGUGAUUUGUCUGGUUAAUUCUGAUAACGAACGAGACCUUCGUCUUUAAAUAGUUGCUGAAACACGAGAUUCUGUUGAGUUCUCACUUUUGUGGGAUCUCUGCAGGAUUUUCAUUAAGUUGUUUCUGAAUAUUACUUCUUAGAGGGACCACUCAUGCUCUAGUGAGGGGAAGUCGAAGGCAAAAACAGGUCUGUGAUGCCGCUAGAUGUCUGGGGCUACACGCGCGUUACACUGCCUUCUUCAACAAGCAUAUAAUUUAUCCUUACCUUAUGAGGUCUGGGUAAGCUUUGAGAUAGAGGCGUGAUGGGGAUUGUGUUUUGAAAUUAUCACACAUGAACGAGGAAUUCCUAGUAUAGGCAGGUCAUUAGCCUGUCUCGAUUACGUCCCUGCCCUUUGUACACACCGCCCGUCGCUCCUACCGAUUGAAUAGAGCGAUAAAAAUUCGAGAUUUUGUAACUAAUACUGGCCGAAAGGUUAGUAUUUCUUAUCGUUAGAACCUAUUUGAAUCUCUUAAU
RNAcentral lists this ribosomal RNA (1266 nucleotides) under metagenome. RNAcentral describes it as "SSU rRNA". It matches the Rfam family "Eukaryotic small subunit ribosomal RNA", at positions 558 to 1772 of the family's 1831-position model. The record is from RNAcentral.